This 479-nucleotide long non-coding RNA is filed under the name Mustela putorius furo (domestic ferret). Its description in RNAcentral is "lncRNA (ENSMPUG00000025759.1)". Lineage: Eukaryota; Metazoa; Chordata; Mammalia; Carnivora; Mustelidae. The record is from RNAcentral.
CACGACUGCUGGAUUUCAAAGUGGAGAAAGGAAACAACAGAACAAGGAAUGAAGCAGCUUUAAGUUGUAGACUGCCUACUAUAUCAGGAAAACAGUAAUCGUGGUCACAUAAAGCCAAGAAAUUAAGGGCUAAUAGGGCUGAUGCAGAUCAGCUGCUUCCUCAUACCAUGUUACUGGAACCAGAGCUGAGACCACUCUUUGAUGGUCUAAGAAGAGCGUACCUGCUGUUACUCUCACCCAAACUAGAGGUUUAAUACCCAGGGAAAAAAAAAGUUGUGACAGAAGAAAUAAAUUUGACUACAAAUGGUCACAGCGUCUCCCAUCCCAGGACUAAGAUCCAGCUGCAGAGAACACCCAAUUCUGCCAACAAUUAAGAUUAAAAGAAAAAAAAAAUGAAUGCGAGCACUCAUGAAGGCUAUGAAUCAUCUCCUUUUCCCAUGUAAAUUACACAGCAAUCAACAUAAAUGGGUUUAAUAAAA